UUUUAAAUAUAUAAAUAUCUGCAAUAUCUCAUUCCAUACCAGACAUUUAUUGAAGCCAAAGUUUAGAGCUUUAAACUUCUAUUCGUGCUCGUGGCAGUGCAUUGCAUAUUCCAAAUCCAACACGCGGGCAUCCCUAAGACGACAGCUAGUUCAAUAUUUUUCAAAUUUCAAGCCACAGCAAAUUUGGUGCAGACUGUGUGUAGAAGAUGAUGAACUGAUUGUGUCAAGAUGGAAAUCGAAACUGAAACUGAUGCAGAGCAAAUCCAAUACACAUGGCACAUGGACUUAACUGGCCGCCAAAGUCGGAUGUCAUAAAUCAAGAGACGUUAACUGAGCCGCCAGACAAAGGAUAAAUGGUCAAAAGUCACAAGUCAAAACACAAAACAAACAGACACCCACACAGCGAGAGGCGAAGUUUUAUGACGGUCAUCGAUGACGAUUGACUAGCCCGGACGCGGACUACCUACGGCAAGGAUUACAAAGGAUUGCCGAACAAUUGUAGUGCAAAUAUUUGCAUAUGCGAGAGCGUUACGCACCCGGAAAAUGUCAAGGACACAGCAAGCAAAACAAAUAGAAUGGAAAGCAAAUGUUAGAGUGGACCUUAAAGUAUUGAGCAAACGUUAAAUGUUUGUGCUUCAGCUGAUUUAAGAAGGGACUUAUAUGCAGCAAAUUAACCACCUGAAGAGUCAGUUGGUUAAGAUUGUUAAGUCUUACAGUUUGCCAGUAGAAGUUUCGAUGGGAAGUCAUUUGGACAGUCAUUCAGUCAAUCAAGUGCAUUCACUUUGUUUUUCGCUUCGAGACGGCACCCCAAAACCAAAGGCCAAUUAUUACUAAUGUGAGCGAGGGGGAUGGGUGGCUGUGAGUUGAAUCGCGACGCGUUGCGUGAAAAUGUUGCACAUUUGCAUAAUGAUAGUA
This is a long non-coding RNA of Drosophila novamexicana, 915 nucleotides long. RefSeq lists it as uncharacterized. The record is from RefSeq and is a predicted model, not a curated record. Lineage: Eukaryota; Metazoa; Arthropoda; Insecta; Diptera; Drosophilidae. The transcript is spliced from 3 exons.